UUCUCAACUGAGGGUGCGCAGAGUUCUUCCAGGGCAGUGGUUCUCAACCAGGGGCCCGGAGACCUCUGGGGAGCCGUGAGCAGGUUUCAGGGGGUUCGCCAAGCAGGGUCAGCAUUAGAGUCCCUGGGGCCCUCUGCAGAAAGCUGAAGCCCGAAGCUCGGAGCUGCACCACCUGGGGCUGAAGCCAAAGCCUGAGCAUCUUAGCUUUAUGGGGGCCCCUGUGGCAGGGGACCCUGGGCAAUUACCCUGCUUGCUGACCCCUAACAUCGGCCCUGGAUUUUAUAUGCAGAAAACCAGUUGUUGUGGCACAGAGUUGCUUUGUCUAAGCUGUGGAUAUCAGAAAUCAUACAAGAACUCAGCAUGCUGAAAUGUGAUUGUCAUGGCUGACGGCAUGGUCACAGAGCAUGAAUAAACACUAAUGUUAUCCUUC
Chelonia mydas (Green sea turtle) is the source of this 430-nucleotide long non-coding RNA. RefSeq lists it as uncharacterized. The transcript is spliced from 2 exons. NCBI's taxonomy places the organism in Eukaryota, Metazoa, Chordata, Testudines, Cheloniidae. The record is from RefSeq and is a predicted model, not a curated record.